RNAcentral lists this ribosomal RNA (468 nucleotides) under uncultured bacterium. RNAcentral's name for it is "partial 16S ribosomal RNA". It matches the Rfam family "Bacterial small subunit ribosomal RNA", at positions 28 to 507 of the family's 1533-position model. The record is from RNAcentral.
GACGAACGCUGGCGGCGUGCUUAACACAUGCAAGUCGAACGGCAAGGCCCUGCUUUUGUGGGGUGCUCGAGUGGCGAACGGGUGAGUAACACGUGAGUAACCUGCCCUUGACUUUGGGAUAACUUCAGGAAACUGGGGCUAAUACCGGAUAGGAGCUCCUGCUGCAUGGUGGGGGUUGGAAAGUUUCGGCGGUUGGGGAUGGACUCGCGGCUUAUCAGCUUGUUGGUGGGGUAGUGGCUUACCAAGGCUUUGACGGGUAGCCGGCCUGGGAGGGUGACCGGCCACAUUGGGACUGAGAUACGGCCCAGACUCCUACGGGAGGCAGCAGGGGGGAAUAUUGCACAACGGGCGGAAGCGUGAUGCAGCAACGCCGCGUGCGGGAUGACGGCCUUCGGGUUGUAAACCGCUUUCGCCUGUGACGAAGCGUGAGUGACGGUAAUGGGUAAAGAAGCACCGGCUAACUACGUG